UCUAAAACAAUAAUAAAGCAGUAAUAAUAAUAAUAAUUAAUAUUAAUAGGUUUUUCUCUAUCAUUUUUCUGGUUUUUCCUCCUCCCGCGGAGCUCCGGAGCAGCGGCGCUCGGCGGGAAUUCAGGCCGGAGACGGAGCUCCUCUCAGCGGCCUCCGCGCGCCGCGUCAGCCGGUGAUGGAUGGAUCCGCGUCCGAGAGGAAACGUUGAGCCGUGUGACAGCCGUCACCUCAGCCGAGCCGAGUCCAUCUGAGCUCAAACAAAGCGAGUGAGGAAGAGGAGGAGGAGGAAGAGGAGGGCUGUGGGGUGUCUCUGGCGUCUGGAGCUGCUGCUGCUGCGAUUCGACACAGUCAGCGUCUCUUCGGCUCAGCUUACCUACACACACACACGCACACACACACACACACACACACAUCCUUUCAAUAAAACUGAUGAUGACAUCCAUCCUCUUCUUCUUCUUCAUGAUGAUGAUGAUGAGGAGCCACUUUUGUUUGGGAUUU
This is a long non-coding RNA of Austrofundulus limnaeus, 498 nucleotides long. RefSeq lists it as uncharacterized. The transcript is spliced from 3 exons. The record is from RefSeq and is a predicted model, not a curated record. NCBI's taxonomy places the organism in Eukaryota, Metazoa, Chordata, Actinopteri, Cyprinodontiformes, Rivulidae.